GCGCUCAUUCAGCAGUGCACACACUGAAAUCGGAAUGAUGCUGAGAAGGUUAACGUGGCCCCUGCACGAGGAUGAGGCACACAUUCCAGAAAUAGUCCAUGUUAAA
Pteropus vampyrus (large flying fox) is the source of this 106-nucleotide small nuclear RNA. The record is from Ensembl. Lineage: Eukaryota; Metazoa; Chordata; Mammalia; Chiroptera; Pteropodidae.